CCCUUAGAUGUUCUGGGCCGCACGCGCGCUAAACUGACGAAGUCAGCGAGCAUGUCCUACGCCGACAGGUGCGGGGAAUCUUGUCAAACUUCGUCGUGAUGGGGAUUGAUUUUUGAAAUUCUUGAUCAUAAACGAGGAAUUCCUAGUAAGCGCAAGUCAGCAGCUUGCGUUGAUUACGUCCCUGCCCUUUGUACACACCGCCCGUCGCUACUACCGAUUGAAUGGUUUAGUGAGAUCUUCGGAUUGGCGCCACUGCAGCUCAGCAAUGGGCUUGGUGGAUGCCGAAAAGUUGAUCAAACUUGAUCAUUUAGAGGAAGUAAAAGUCGUAACA
RNAcentral lists this ribosomal RNA (331 nucleotides) under uncultured eukaryote. Its description in RNAcentral is "partial 18S ribosomal RNA". It matches the Rfam family "Eukaryotic small subunit ribosomal RNA", at positions 1470 to 1796 of the family's 1831-position model. The record is from RNAcentral.